AAGCAAUAUCCUGUGAAAUCAGGACCAAGAAAAUGUUGUCCACUCUCGUCUCCUUUUCAACAUAGUAUUAGAAUUCCUAGACAGAGGAAUAAGGCAAGAGAAAGACAUAAAGGGGAUCCAAAUAGGAAAAGAUGAAGUCAUGGGCUGGGGAUAUAGCCUAGUGGCAA
Long non-coding RNA from Perognathus longimembris pacificus (Pacific pocket mouse), 167 nucleotides. RefSeq lists it as uncharacterized. The transcript has 3 exons. The record is from RefSeq and is a predicted model, not a curated record. Lineage: Eukaryota; Metazoa; Chordata; Mammalia; Rodentia; Heteromyidae.